AAGUCGUAACAAGGUCUCCGUUGGUGAACCAGCGGAGGGAUCAUUAAAAGAAGCCGAAAGGCUACUUACAACCAUCGCGAACUCGUCCAAGUUGCUUCGGCGGCGCGGGGCCCCUCACGGGGCGCCGCAGUCCGGCCUCUCCGGAGGCGCGGGGCAACCGCCGGAGGUACAAAACUCUUCUGUAUUAUAGUGACACUUCUGAUUAAACAAACAAAUAAGUUAAAACUUUCAACAACGGAUCUCUUGGUUCUG
RNAcentral lists this unclassified non-coding RNA (252 nucleotides) under fungal sp. RNAcentral's name for it is "partial internal transcribed spacer region". The stretch from base 1 to 46 matches the Rfam family "Eukaryotic small subunit ribosomal RNA", at positions 1786 to 1831 of the family's 1831-position model. Lineage: Eukaryota; Fungi. The record is from RNAcentral.